Molecule: ribosomal RNA, 253 nt
Filed under: uncultured bacterium
Lineage: Bacteria
Description: partial 16S ribosomal RNA
Rfam family: Bacterial small subunit ribosomal RNA
Source: RNAcentral
UACGAAGGGGGCUAGCGUUGCUCGGAAUCACUGGGCGUAAAGCGCACGUAGGCGGGUUCUUAAGUCAGGGGUGAAAUCCUGGAGCUCAACUCCAGAACUGCCUUCGAUACUGAGAGUCUCGAGUCCGGGAGAGGUGAGUGGAACUGCGAGUGUAGAGGUGAAAUUCGUAGAUAUUCGCAAGAACACCAGUGGCGAAGGCGGCUCACUGGCCCGGUACUGACGCUGAGGUGCGAAAGCGUGGGGAGCAAACAGG